RNAcentral lists this ribosomal RNA (458 nucleotides) under uncultured microorganism. RNAcentral describes it as "bacterial SSU rRNA". It matches the Rfam family "Bacterial small subunit ribosomal RNA", at positions 346 to 795 of the family's 1533-position model. The record is from RNAcentral.
GGGCUGCAGUCGAGAAUCUUUAGCAAUGGGGGAAACCCUGACUAUGCGACGCCGCGUGAGGGAUGAAGGUCUUAGGAUUGUAAACCUCUUUCGACCGGAAAGAAUGAUCACAGUUCGAAUAGGGCUGUGGUUUGACGGUACCGGGAGAAGAAGCCACGGCCAACUCCGUGCCAGCAGCCGCGGUAAUACGGAGGUGGCGAGCGUUACUCGGAUUUAUUGGGUGUAAAGGGCAGGUAGGCGGCCUGACAAGUGGGGAGUGAAAUCCUGCGGCUUAAUCGCAGAACUGCUUUCCAAACUAUCGGGCUUGAGUGUGGGAGAGGAGAAUGGAACUCCUGGUGUAAGGGUGAAAUCUGUAGAGAUCAGGAGGAACACCAUUGGCGAAGGCGAUUCUCUGGACCACAACUGACGCUGAGCUGCGAAAGCUAGGGGAGAGAACAGGAUUAGAUACCCGUGUAGUC